This 261-nucleotide long non-coding RNA is filed under the name Mytilus galloprovincialis (Mediterranean mussel). Lineage: Eukaryota; Metazoa; Mollusca; Bivalvia; Mytilida; Mytilidae. The record is from RNAcentral.
AAAUUUUAUAAAAAUAAUUUAUGAUAAUUGAUAAAAAAAAAAAAGAAGGAAAGGAAUUAUUUGAUUAUGCAUUCUUAACAUUAGAGCCAUGUUUAUUUGUAUUUUAUAUAGUUGUAACAGUCACAUAGGAAAGUAAUGAUUACGCCAUAAAAGUAUGUGUUGCAGACAAUAUAUAUAACAUACUCAUUAUAAAUGAUACUAGAGCAAACGUAAAACAAACACUGUUUACUAAGUUUUAUAAUGGAUUUAUUAUACAACUGC